This 511-nucleotide ribosomal RNA is filed under the name uncultured Glomus. RNAcentral describes it as "SSU rRNA". It matches the Rfam family "Eukaryotic small subunit ribosomal RNA", at positions 569 to 1081 of the family's 1831-position model. The record is from RNAcentral. Lineage: Eukaryota; Fungi; Glomeromycota; Glomeromycetes; Glomerales; Glomeraceae.
AGCAGCCGCGGUAAUUCCAGCUCCAAUAGCGUAUAUUAAAGUUGUUGCAGUUAAAAAGCUCGUAGUUGAAUUUCGGGGUUAGUAGGUUGGUCAUGCCUCUGGUAUGCACUGGCCUCACUGAUUCCUCCUUCCUGAUGAGCCGUAAUGCCAUUAAUUUGGUGUUGCGAGGAAUCUGGACUGUUACUUUGAAAAAAUUAGAGUGUUUAAAGCAGGCUAACGCUUGAAUACAUUAGCAUGGAAUAAUGAAAUAGGACGUUCGAUCUUAUUUUGUUGGUUUCUAGGAUUGACGUAAUGAUUAAUAGGGAUAGUUGGGGGCAUUAGUAUUCAAUUGUCAGAGGUGAAAUUCUUGGAUUUAUUGAAGACUAACUACUGCGAAAGCAUUUGCCAAGGAUGUUUUCAUUAAUCAAGAACGAAAGUUAGGGGAUCGAAGACGAUCAGAUACCGUCGUAGUCUUAACCAUAAACUAUGCCGACUAGGGAUCGGAUGAUGUUAAUUUUUUAAUGACUCAUUC